UACGUAGGGUGCGAGCGUUAAUCGGAAUUACUGGGCGUAAAGUGUGCGCAGGCGGCCGAGCAAGUCGAGUGUGAAAGCCCCGGGCUUAACCUGGGAACUGCGCUCGAAACUACUUGGCUUGAGUGUGGCAGAGGGAGGUGGAAUUCCACGUGUAGCGGUGAAAUGCGUAGAGAUGUGGAGGAACACCGAUGGCGAAGGCAGCCACCUGGGCCAACACUGAUGCUCAGGCACGAAAGCGUGGGGAGCAAACAGG
RNAcentral lists this ribosomal RNA (253 nucleotides) under uncultured bacterium. Its description in RNAcentral is "partial 16S ribosomal RNA". It matches the Rfam family "Bacterial small subunit ribosomal RNA", at positions 524 to 776 of the family's 1533-position model. The record is from RNAcentral.